Molecule: microRNA precursor, 56 nt
Filed under: Cordylochernes scorpioides
Lineage: Eukaryota; Metazoa; Arthropoda; Arachnida; Pseudoscorpiones; Chernetidae
Rfam family: mir-9/mir-79 microRNA precursor family
About the family: The mature ~21nt miRNAs are processed from hairpin precursor sequences represented here. miR-9 is processed from the 5' arm of its precursor, and miR-79 from the 3' arm. The bounds of the precursors are predicted based on conservation and base pairing and are not generally known.
Source: RNAcentral
UUUGGUUAUCUAGCUAUAUGAAUGGAAAUGACCUCAUAAAGCUAGGUUACCGAAGC